GCGCCGUUAGCUCAGCUGGAUAGAGCGUCUGGCUACGGACCAGAAGGCCGGGGGUUCGAAUCCCUCACGGCGUGCCA
RNAcentral lists this transfer RNA (77 nucleotides) under Bacteroides eggerthii. RNAcentral describes it as "tRNA-Arg". It matches the Rfam family "tRNA". From Rfam's summary of the family: Transfer RNA (tRNA) molecules are approximately 80 nucleotides in length. Their secondary structure includes four short double-helical elements and three loops (D, anti-codon, and T loops). The record is from RNAcentral. Lineage: Bacteria; Pseudomonadati; Bacteroidota; Bacteroidia; Bacteroidales; Bacteroidaceae. RNAcentral also lists the same sequence under 32 other names.